RNAcentral lists this unclassified non-coding RNA (20 nucleotides) under Mus musculus (house mouse). RNAcentral's name for it is "oocyte_clustered_small_RNA10148". The record is from RNAcentral. Lineage: Eukaryota; Metazoa; Chordata; Mammalia; Rodentia; Muridae.
UAGCUCGUCAGCACCUGCGU